GGGGAAGAUCUUUGUCAGAUUAGAUCAUGGGAAGAAUGCCAAGAAUUGGAUGCUGACCGUUGGUUGUAGUCUUCCUGGAAAAUGGGUUCUUCACUGGGGAGUUUCUUAUGUUGACGACGUUGGCAGUGAAUGGGAUCAACCUCCUAGUGAAAUGAGGCCACCUGGUUCAAUUCCCAUCAAGGACUAUGCAAUAGAUACACCCUUGAAUAAAUCAGCG
Prunus mume (Japanese apricot) is the source of this 217-nucleotide non-coding RNA. The record is from RefSeq and is a predicted model, not a curated record. NCBI's taxonomy places the organism in Eukaryota, Viridiplantae, Streptophyta, Magnoliopsida, Rosales, Rosaceae.